This is a long non-coding RNA of Pogoniulus pusillus (Red-fronted tinkerbird), 704 nucleotides long. RefSeq lists it as uncharacterized. The record is from RefSeq and is a predicted model, not a curated record. The transcript has 2 exons. NCBI's taxonomy places the organism in Eukaryota, Metazoa, Chordata, Aves, Piciformes, Lybiidae.
CACAUCAGACUCGGUCUGGUUAAAGUACUGCUUCUGGCAUUAGAUUAGCUCUAGUGUUGUCCAGCUUGCUUUGAAGACACAGGACUGGGACAGGGCCAAGGGUGAGAUGUUGCUGUCACAGAAGGGGCUAUACUAGAAGGAAGCAACAGUGCAAGUAAGCUGUAGGAUAAAGGAAUCAUUUCAAGGCAUCAUCAUUCAACACAGGUGAAAUAGCAGUAUGCACCUGACUUUUCUGAUGAAGGAAGGGGGAAAAAAAUCUGAUGAAGCAUCCUGGCUCAGAGAAAUAGUUGGAGGAGAAAGGCGAGGAAAGAAAGUAGAUUUUCCUAGAAGGAUCUACUCAGAAAUACAAAGCAGGUUGUCAGAGAAAUCUAUUUGAAGGAGUAACAUCUCCCUGCCAUCAUAUUUCAACUACAAGACUGCAAGGGAAUGAAAUCUGCCUUCACACUCCAACAUGCCAAUCCAAUUCACCUAUAGAAGGAAGCUGAACUAGGGAAUGCACAUUGCACUGAUACGAAGACUUGAAAUCUAACAGGCAGCUAAGGAAAACCAUCAGUCUAAAUGGUCAAAAUAAGUGAGACAUUGUUUGGGCUAAGCUGACUUUACUCCUGGGUUUCAUAAGCCCACAUACUUGACCUUUAGAGCAGAUGAUCAAGUUAACUAAACUGUGCUCUUAUGAACAAGCUAACAAAGUCUUUUCAAAGUUU